RNAcentral lists this ribosomal RNA (468 nucleotides) under uncultured bacterium. RNAcentral's name for it is "partial 16S ribosomal RNA". It matches the Rfam family "Bacterial small subunit ribosomal RNA", at positions 28 to 507 of the family's 1533-position model. The record is from RNAcentral.
GACGAACGCUGGCGGCGUGCUUAACACAUGCAAGUCGAACGGAAAGGCCCUGCUUUUGUGGGGUGCUCGAGUGGCGAACGGGUGAGUAACACGUGAGUAACCUGCCCUUGACUUUGGGAUAACUUCGGGAAACUGGGGCUAAUACCGGAUAGGAGCUUCUGCUGCACGGUGGGGGUUGGAAAGUUUCGGCGGUUGGGGAUGGACUCGCGGCUUAUCAGCUUGUUGGUGGGGUAGUGGCUUACCAAGGCUUUGACGGAUAGCCGGCCUGAGAGGGUGACCGGCCACAUUGGGACUGAGGUACGGCCCAGACUCCAACGGGAGGCAGCAGGGGGGAGUAUUACACAGUGGGCGGAAGCGUGAUGCGACGACGCCGCGUGCGGAAUGACGGCCUUCGGGUUGUAAACCGCUUUCGCCUGAGACGAAGCGUGAGUGACGGUAAUGGGUAAAGAAGCACCGGCUAACUACGUG